GAAGCCUCUGGAGUCCACAAUUCGUGAACAGAAAGAGGCUGCAUCCCCUGUUACUCCCCUUGGAGAAACGACAAGCAACUAUUACAAGAGAGGGCCUCUUCCUCAGAGUGAAGGUCCCUAAGUGGUGCAAACUUGGAUACUAACUGAAGGGCUGGUUGUUGGAACCCACACAGCAACACGACGGCAGAAAGGCCUGGUGAAGGUCUGCCGUAAAGAUAACCACCAAGAAGACCCUCUGGACUUCAUUCUACUUUUUGACACAUAGGAUCACCAUGUCCAGAUCAACUUGGCUUGAUUUAAUUUUCACUGUUUGUGUCUUGUUUAAGAAAUCUGCCCUUACCCCAAGGUUGAAAAUAUAUUUACCUACUACAGUGA
Echinops telfairi (small Madagascar hedgehog) is the source of this 375-nucleotide long non-coding RNA. RefSeq lists it as uncharacterized. The transcript has 2 exons. Lineage: Eukaryota; Metazoa; Chordata; Mammalia; Afrosoricida; Tenrecidae. The record is from RefSeq and is a predicted model, not a curated record.